RNA transcript from Drosophila nasuta, 3519 nucleotides. It is a transcript of the gene named tyrosine-protein kinase BAZ1B-like, with no coding region annotated. NCBI's taxonomy places the organism in Eukaryota, Metazoa, Arthropoda, Insecta, Diptera, Drosophilidae. The record is from RefSeq and is a predicted model, not a curated record. The transcript has 3 exons.
UCGCAGUAGCAAAUGUGACAAAUGUCAUCGAAAGUUAAUGUGGGCAGUAAGAUCCAUCAACCUUUUCUCAUUUUACAUCGAGCAGCAAUUGUGAAAACAUCAAAAAUAAAUUUAAAAAACUUAAAUUAAAACUGGUGAAGUGAAAAAGUAAAGUGAAGAAAAAAUAUUUCAGAAAACUUGAACUAAAAGUGGUGUAGUGAAAAAGUAAAAAAAAAAGAAAGAAAUGAUUGUUGUUGGCGACAGCAAAAUUCUAAAUGAAAACUUCAAAAUGUGCGUAUGAAAAAAAUUUUUAAUUCGUGUCGCAGUAGCAAAUGUGACAAAUGUCAUCGAAAGUUAAUGUGGGCAGUAGGCUCCAUGAACCUUUUCUCAUUUUACAUCGAGCAGCAAUUGUGAAAACAUCAAAAAAAAUAUAAUUUAAAAAUUCUAAAUUAAAACUGGUGAAGUGAGAAAGUUGAGUGAAGAAAAAAUAAUUCAGAAAACUUGAACUAAAAGUGGUGAAGUGAAAAAGUAAAAAAAAAAAGAAAGAAAUGAUUGUUGUUGGCGAUAGCAAAAUUCUAAAUGAAAACUUCAAAAUGUGCGUAUGAAAAAAAUUUUUAAUUCGUGUCGCAGUAGCAAAUGUGACAAAUGUCAUCGAAAGUUAAUGUGGGCAGUAGGCUCCAUGAACCUUUUCUCAUUUUACAUCGAGCAGCAAUUGUGAAAACAUCAAAAAUAAAUUGAAAAAUUAAAAAAACCUAAAUUAAAACUGGUGAAGUGAAGAAAAAAUAAUUUAGAAAACUUGAACUAAAAGUGGUGAAGUGAAAAAGUAAAAAAAAAGAAAGAAAUGAUUGUUGUUGCCGACGUCAAAUUUCUAAAUGAAAACUUCAAAAUGUGCGUAUGAAAAAAAUUUUUAAUUCGUGUCGCAGUAGCAAAUGUGACAAAUGUCAUCGAAAGUUAAUGUGGGCAGUAGGCUCCAUCAACCUUUUCUCAUUUUACAUCGAGCAGCAGUAGUGAAAACAUCAAAAAUAAAUUUAAAAAACUUAAAUUAAAACUGGUGAAGUGAAAAAGUUGAGUGAAGAAAAAAUAAUUCAGAAAACUUGAACUAAAAGUGGAGAAGUGAAAAAGUAAAGUGAAGAAAAAAAAUUGUAGCAUGUGGAAAUAUACCGCUGGAGCCGCGUGAAGAAUCGUACGUGAGCUGAUACCUCGGACGGACUGAGGUAUCGUGCGUCCUCCGGUUGUAGCACCCCCGAAUCGUCCAGGACGCCGUGCUUCAUCGGAUAAGUCGGAUACGUUCGAAAAAACCAAAGCGGCGUGGACGACUCGCCACCAAAAAGCAUGCGCAGCCGCCGCCAAAAGCUGCUGCAGCAAAUGAAUAUGCAAAGGUGACAGCAACAUCUUUGGCAACAUCUUUGGCAACAUCUACAGCAACAUCUUUGGGAACAUCUUUGGCAACAUCUACAGCAACAUCUUUGGCAACAUCUACAGCAACAUUUACAGCAAUAUUUUUGGCAACAUUUACAGCAAUAUUUUCGGCAACAUCUACAGCAACAUUUUGGCAGCAUCUUUUGCAACAUCUACAGCAACAUCUUUUGCAACAUCUUUGGCAACAUCUACAGCAACAUGUAUUGGAACAUAUAUAGCAACAUUUAACGCAACCUUUUACGCAACAUCUAACGCAACAUCAGCCCACAUUUAUGUACCUAACCUCAAUGCAAAUUUUGCUGUUGCACCACAACCUCGUGGAGCACUCCUACCCAUGUUGCGUGCAGCAACAUCGCAGAACUUAUAGCGCAAUCGUGGCGUAUCUGCCGCACUAGUUGGCGCACCAAGAUUAGGCGCCGCAGCAGCAAAUGCAACACAGAAAUCGGUCGCAACAACAGCCAAUGGCACACCGAGAGUGCGACCAACAACAUCUUGUGCAACAUUUGGCAGAUGACAAUCCAUUGGUCCAUCGGGACAUCAGAUGAUGCCAAGCUCAAGGAUGCCAGCAUAUGUCCCGCAACAGCAGCAGCAGGGCAUCAGGCGGAAACUGGAUGCGACUAUGCCAGCUGGCGAAACAACAGCGGAUAUGGUGCCUAGAGCAGAUAAUAAUCCAAUGGAUGUGGGGACGGUGAGAAAGAAGUUGGACAACUAUGAAUAUCGCACCGCAUUGGAUUUUGCAGACGAUAUCCGUUUGAUAUUCUCAAAUUGCUUCAAAUACAAACAACAAUCCCAAGCAACUUCCCAUUGUUGGCGACGCACAUAAGUUGCAGACCAUGCAUGAUGCCACCCUCCAAUUUUAGGAACAUGAUUCGAGCGCCACAAAUGAUUCGAGAUGCGGUGCCGAACGGAAUCCCUGUUCCAAGACCUUAAGGCUAUGACAGUGAGAUCAGCAACAGCCACAGUCGAAUGGUCAGUCCUUAUCCAUAGGGUCAACAGCGCAGCAGCGAAAUCAGCAACACUAACAACAUCAAUGGCAGUAACAGUGGAAUACUUGGUCCAUAUAUACAAAGUGGUUACAGAGCUCAGAGCAGUGACGCCAGUAAACAUCAGCAGCGAUUCUGAAAAUCAAAAUGAACGCAAAAGGCUGGUCAAAGCCAAGCUAAAGAUGCUGACGUACACAAAUCUGAAGCAAGAGGGCCAGAAGGUAUCGCAAAGCACAAAAAGAAGCAGUUACAAGAAGCUGGAGUUGCAGCAUCGGCAGCAACCACUCAGUAUAUAUAUUCUUGAUCAGCCAAAACGAUCUAGCCAUGUCCGUCUGUCCGUCUGUUCCUAUGAACACCUAGGUCUCAGAGACUAUGAGAGAUAGAGCUAUAAUUUUUUUCGUGGUAUAUUUGCACGCAGAUCAACUUUGUUUAAAAUGUUUGCCACGCCCACUUCCGCCCCCGCAAAUCUACAAAAAUCGAAUAAUUUUAAAGCUAGAGCUGCGCAUUUUGGUGUAUAAAAUAAUAACUAUAAUAUUUAUGAUUUCUAAUUUGAUUGCGAUCAGAUAAAAUUUGUAGAAUUUAUUGCAGAAAUACUUUUAUAUGCGCAAAAACGAGGCGAAUUCGCUCAGAGAAAGCUUUAUUGAGCUUCGCCCUAAUUCUAAGAACUUAAUUUUAACAACCUCAUUCAACAUUGAUGCUCUUAAACUUAUUUAACCAACUGCCCCAACAGCUAGAAUCGCGAUUUUUGGUACACACAUUAUUAACUAUAGUAUUUAAAAUUUGUGAAUACUUGGUUGCCAUCACACAAGAAUUUUAAAAGUCAUUUAGGAAAUUGUUUUGUAUGGGCAAAACGUAUACUUAGUAGCUUUCGCUAACAAUCUGGUAUAUUUUGCACGCUGUGGUAUAUUUAAAAUGUAGUACUGUAUUAAUAUACCUAAACUAACAUUUGGAAUAUUUUUAAUACUUGGAGAUAAUUGUAUAUUUUAAAAUGAACACCGCAUAAAUGCAAACCAUUUAUUUGAAAUGGGUAGCGGGUAACUCACAGUGGAGCACAUUCUACUAUAGCUUAUUUACUUGUUGCCAUACAAAAGUGUCUCUCAAAUAAAUUUUCCACUCUUAUUUGAUGACAACCACAUUU